Molecule: long non-coding RNA, 836 nt
Organism: Lagopus muta (rock ptarmigan)
Lineage: Eukaryota; Metazoa; Chordata; Aves; Galliformes; Phasianidae
Exons: 2
Source: RefSeq, a predicted model, not a curated record
GGACCAGGUGUGUUCAGCAAGCAAACGUGUUCAAGUAGAAGCUGCACUGCACCUUGUAAACUGCAAAGUGGCUUAUGGUAACUGGAACUUCUAGAUUCAGUAUUCUGUAUACAAAUGAAAAAUCUUGGAUAAUUAAGACUGAAGUCACUGAGAAUUUCAGUAUGCUGACUUUAAAGGUUCUAAGGAAACUCAGGUACUGAUGCUUAGCUCUAUAAAAUAAAACAAUAUCUAACCCGUAUUUUACUAAGUUUAUUACAGACCAUAAUAUUUACAAACUUGUAUUUUAACUGUGAAGUUUCUGUUGUGUGGUUGUUGGUUUUUUUUAAUUUAUUAUUAUUUUUUAAAGAACUACGCCCUACUUUAAGACUUUAAGUAACCCUACAACAAGUACAGGUCAUUAACUGAAUCUGUGCGACUGCAUUAGGAAACAGGCAGUACUCUUGUGUUACAACAAAACAGUUUAUUUGUGAUCAGUGUUUUAUAUUCUAUACAUCCUUCACAAAUUUAAUUUUACAUAAUUGGAUACUUCAUUUAAAACGUAAGGUUUAAGCUUCUAGUUCUUCCCUAUAACAGAAGGCUGGUAUAAGUUAUUUGAAAAUGAGGUAACAUUUCACAGAACAUUUUUUUUCAAGUUUUAGAGAACUAAAUUUGCAUUUUGUUAAAAUCAAAAAGUAGGAAAAAGAUGUUUCUUUACAAAUGACUUUGCUCAAGUAUGUGUUCAAAGGAAACAGGAUAAAAAGGCUUUUUUCUUCUAACAUUCUGUACUGUACUGUGUUGUUCAAUCAAUAGGAAUUAGCUUCUGCCAUUUGCUAAAAGAAUGAGUAGUGGGGAACAGG